RNAcentral lists this transfer RNA (68 nucleotides) under Desmognathus fuscus (dusky salamander). RNAcentral describes it as "tRNA-Phe". It matches the Rfam family "tRNA". From Rfam's summary of the family: Transfer RNA (tRNA) molecules are approximately 80 nucleotides in length. Their secondary structure includes four short double-helical elements and three loops (D, anti-codon, and T loops). Further hydrogen bonds mediate the characteristic L-shaped molecular structure. tRNAs have two regions of fundamental functional importance: the anti-codon, which is responsible for specific mRNA codon recognition, and the 3' end, to which the tRNAs corresponding amino acid is attached (by aminoacyl-tRNA synthetases). tRNAs cope with the degeneracy of the genetic code in two manners: having more than one tRNA (with a specific anti-codon) for a particular amino acid; and 'wobble' base-pairing, i.e. permitting non-standard base-pairing at the 3rd anti-codon position. The record is from RNAcentral. Lineage: Eukaryota; Metazoa; Chordata; Amphibia; Caudata; Plethodontidae.
GCCAGCGUAGUUUAAGCAAAAUAUGGCACUGAAAAUGCCAAGAAAGAUUUUAAUAAAUCUCGCAAGCA